RNAcentral lists this small RNA (83 nucleotides) under marine metagenome. RNAcentral's name for it is "rhtB sRNA". It matches the Rfam family "rhtB sRNA". The record is from Rfam by way of RNAcentral.
AUGAUAUUAUACUACUUAGAUAGUCCUAUCUAGCCAUUUUUAGCUCCCGGUUUUUUAGGACUAUCCAGUUCUCAUGAAAAAAA